GGGGCGGGGCCGGGGGCAGAUCCGCGCGCGCCCGGGAGCCGGAUUUGGAGCGCGAGGCGCCGGCGGGGGCCGAGCGGAGCUUCCCGCGGCCUCGGACGCUCCUCCUAGCCAGCGGCCUCCGUCCGCCUCCGCCUGUGCCUCGAGCUCCUUCGCCCCGGCCCCGCCUGUCCCGGCCACCACUUCCGGCCGCUCACCUGGGACGCGCUCACCUGGGACGCGCUCACCUGCCUCUGGACUCUGGGCCACCAGGAUGAAGGACCGGCUGGAGCAGCUGAAGGCCAAGCAGCUGACUCAGGAUGACGAUGACAAUGAGGUCGAGAUUGCUAUCGACAACACGGCUUUCAUGGAUGAGUUCUUUUCUGAGAUUGAGGAUACUCGGCUCAACAUUGACAAGAUCUCAGAGCAUGUGGAGGAGGCUAAGAAACUGUACAGCAUCAUUCUCUCUGCACCAAUUCCAGAGCCAAAAACCAAGGAUGACCUGGAGCAGCUCACAGCUGAGAUCAAGAAAAGGGCCAACAGUGUCCGGAACAAGCUGAAGAGCAUGGAAAGGCAUAUUGAAGAAGAUGACGUCCGGUCUUCGGCAGACCUUCGGAUACGGAAAUCCCAGCACUCCGUCCUCUCCCGGAAGUUCGUGGAGGUGAUGACUAAAUACAAUGAGGCUCAGGUGGACUUCCGUGAACGCAGCAAAGGGCGAAUCCAGCGGCAGCUUGAAAUCACUGGCAAAAAGACAACAGAUGAGGAGCUGGAGGAGAUGUUGGAGAGUGGGAACCCUGCCAUCUUCACUUCUGGGAUCAUCGACUCCCAGAUUUCCAGGCAAGCCCUGAGCGAGAUUGAGGGGAGGCACAAGGACAUUGUGAGGCUGGAGAGCAGCAUCAAGGAGCUCCACGACAUGUUUAUGGACAUCGCCAUGUUGGUGGAGAAUCAGGGUGAGAUGUUAGAUAACAUAGAGUUGAAUGUUAUGCACACAGUGGACCACGUGGAGAAGGCACGGGAUGAGACAAAAAAAGCUGUGAAAUACCAGAGUCAGGCCCGGAAGGUGAGACUCUCCACUGUCUUCCAAGAACAAAGUGCAUUUUGCUUGCUGUCUCUUGCUCUUUCUGCCGUUCCUCUCUGUGUCUCUGUUCUCUGCUGUGACCAACCCUUGCAUCUGGGGGAAAGGGAGCCAUGAUUGACCGUAUUGAGAACAACAUGGACCAGUCAGUGGGCUUCGUGGAGCGGGCUGUAGCGGAUACCAAAAAGGCUGUCAAGUAUCAGAGUGAAGCCCGGAGGGUGAGCACUGAAGUCUCAGCUGGUCUGGCUUACGUCCUUCUCUCUCUGGUCAUCCCCACCUGUGUGCCCUUGACACUGUGCCUUCCCUCCCUGUCCUGGCCUCAUCCGAACCCCACAUGAGACUAGCUGCCCUUCCUGUCCAGGUGUGCCUUGUAUGGAUCUGGCUUACAUGCUUUCAACCCAAGAACCCACACCAGAAAGACAGUUCCACAGAACACAGCCUUGCCCAGAUAUUGCUGUUAAUCUCCUCCUGCAUACUACUCAGGAACAUUUCAGAUAUUACACUUGACUCUUCUAUUCUUUAGAAACUUUCUCUUGAUUGUCUCCCAAUAAGGCCUUUCUCCCCCUGCCCCUUUUACUCUGUCAUGUACCCAGCACGGUGCUAAUUGCUAUAUAAACAUUAUUUCUUUAUAAUGUUUUUUUUUGACAAAAUCUUUUUUACAAAAUCUUAUGAAGUAUCUGUUAUUUCUACAUUAUAGGUGAAUGAUUGAGGGUCAGAGGUUAAGUAAUUGGCUUCAGGCCACCUAUAGGUAUAGGAGCUGGGAUUCAAAUCCAGAUCCCAGUCUUGCUCUUUCCACUACCCCCCUGUAUUUGCCCAUCUUUCUGGUGUCCUUGUUGCUUAAGGACGUCAAAGCUUCUCUACUCAUUGACUGUGGGGAUCCAGCUCUGGUGGCUUCUGCUUUUGGGACUAUUCUUUGACUCUUCCUCCUGGGCUCUGGUAUUUUUGCUUUCCAGUUCAUUGUUUUUCUUCCAAUUUUACCUGUUGCUUAUGCGGGGAUUUAGGGAGCUGGGAAGUUAUUUUGCAUGGUGCAUCCAGGUUAGUUCACAACAGGACCAUAAUUGUGCUUUCUUAUACCCAGUCAGUAUCCUGAAGUAAUGGUAGGUGUGUACUUUAGGGGAGAGAUGGACAGAAAUGUGAAAUUAAAAUGUCUUUGCAUCCCUUUUGAAAGGGAAAAAUGAGUCAUUUUAUAUCCUGGCCAACUGCUGCUUGGAGAUCCCAGGAUAGUAUCUCUUACUGUACCUGUCGACAUAUGCAAGACUGCAGGGUGAGCUGCCAGCUGGUAGAUACAAAGUAAUUUAAGAAAUGUCAAAUAUCCUCAUAUAAUAUCUUAAUGUGGAGAUGUAGACAUCUUAUUUGGAGUGAUUAGAUGCUUUCCAGGUAGAGGUAAGAGGGGCUGGGUUUUUGGAUGAGUUAUUUUUUCUUUUUGGUCAUUUGUUAAUAAUGAUUUAUUUUUGUUUCUCAUAUUCUUCUCUCCAGAAAUUGAUAAUUAUCAUUGUGAUAGUGGUUGUGUUGCUGGGCAUUUUAGCGUUGAUUAUUGGACUUUCCGUUGGGCUGAACUAAGGGCAGCCUAAGAGGGUGCUGCACUAAAAUAACCUGAUUUUACUCCAGCCUGGCGUGGCCACCUUUGUCCUCAGAUGGAACUGGAGUUUGAAUGGCCUUCCUGAGCAUGAGUGGAACCUACUCCUUUGUUUCCUUGUAACUGUCUUUGGACCUGACCUAGCAAGCCGUGUAGCCCUGGAGGAAUCUAAUCUGCCUGAUGCAACCCUGAGUUCUCCUCAAAGCCUUCUCCUGCCCCACCAACUCUGAAGUAUCUUCUUUCCUGGAUUGUAGGAACUGACCCAGCUUCUCUUUCCUCCCUCGGGUGUGUCAAAUUAGCCCUUGCACCUUGGAGAGCUUGUCCGAGACCCUCCCAAGGUGCUGUAUUUUCUACCUCAUGGAGUGUUCUCCUAGAAAUUGCAAUAUAUAUAUAUUUUGAGGGGUAUCUUUAGCAAAUUGUGGGGAUUUUUCUGAGUUUGGCAACAAUAAGGCUUGAAUUUGAGUCUUUGCCUGGCAAGAUGCCAGUCCUUACAGUUUGUUGUCACUAUGUCCUGAAAACAUGAGGGACUGGCAAAUAUCAUUUUGGCUUGAGAAGCUGACUUCUUUGAAAUUGAAUCUGGAAUUAAGCUCUUGGUGUUCAGCUUGGAGGCCAAUCUCAAUCUUUGUCUAUGUUGUGUUCUCUCAAGGAGGGACUAGGAUGAUGCAGUCAUCUUAAGGUUGCCAUUUGCAAAGGCUGAGGAUGUGGGAUAUUUGUUUCCAUGUCUGAGUCUUGAAAACUGGCUGUUCCUUUAGAGAGUGAUGCCAUCGCUCUGAGGCCAAAAAUAACCAGAGACUUAAAAGUAGGCCAGGGACAAGGUACUUGAGACUUAGGCCGUGGAGAUAUUUCACACGAGUGGUGCAAGUAUUCAGUCACUCAUUUCAUAUGUUCCAGAUAUAUUUUUAUAAUUGUGUGUGUGUGUGUGUGUGUGUACAUAUAUGCAUUGUCUCAGGAAGUAGGAAACUAUAAGUGGAGAACAUUAUGACCUCAAAAAAAUAACCUUGAGAUAGGCUAAAAAUUAGAUAAAGGACAUGUGCCCACCUGCUAAUGAACCACAGUAGCUAUUUGAUUUUACCAUGUCAUCAAGAAAUCUGAUUUCUGGAUGAGUACUGGAAAUAUCAUAGAUCUUUGGGAUGAAGACUAAGUUGAUCCCCAUUUAGUUGUUCUGCUUAGCAGCUAGACGGUAUGAUGACACCUUGCUACCUGCUGUUUAGGCUAGGCUUGUCCUGAGAAUAUCCCACGGUAUUUGGUGUCAUUCAGGUGACUUAUGGGAUGUCCUAUGUCCAGGGUAGAGUAGUUUGGGGGAGACCAAAGACUACUGAGUGGCUUUUCCUGCUAUCAGGCUAAUGAGCUUGACAGUUUCUCUGUCUCCCCCAAAUCAUACUGUGGAGGAAGCAAAAGGCUUGGAAAUUUUCAAGUGUAGUGACUGUGUUGACCCAGUGGUAAGCCCCUUAUAUUCCCUGCUGGUCUCUGCCAGUCUCCCUCAUUUGGGGUACCAGGUAUAUUUCAGCUUUGACUUUAAUGCUUUCUAGGAGAGGGUGAACACCCUAAUCCAGGCACUUCCCAUUAGCUUCCUUUUCAAGGGCUACCCUUCCCAGUCAUGCCCAGCAUUCUGACAGAGCCAAGGAGAUGCCUUUCUUGCCCAAGGCUAUGAUGUCAGACAGUGAAUUGGCCCUAGCAACAAGGGGAGACAAGCUCUAAUCACGGGCUUUUGAUCUCCUCUGAGAUGGAGGCCUGGGGCUUAUGUUUUGGAACAUGAUGUGUGAAGGAUUUUGUUGUUGUUUGUUAUUUUUUUAAAAAUGUAAACUUGAUUAUUUUAUUUCUAAUUUAAAAAUAAAUGACUUUAUAUUGAUUGUGAAACAGUUCUGGCUCUGUCUCCCUGCAAUACACUUAGUGAUUGGGUGCCACCAUGUGGUGGUUUUGUUCAGGUUUAGGGAGGGAAUUAAAAUCUUUCUAACCAUGUGCUGGACCAAAUGGGUCAAAAGUGGUCUAAUCUUUAAAAGUGGCUUAAUUCUGAAAGAAUUCAUUAUAAUGAUAUCUUGAGUUUCAGAUUUGGGGAGCUCCCCCAAGUAAUUUGGUUCACUCACUGAAUGAGUAUUUGGCUCAAGAAGGAAAUGGGGGACUUCUGUUGUGAUGGUAUCUGGGAAGGCAGAACAACAUACUACAUCCCGAGGUUCCUGUUGAUUUGAUUUUUCACUCACUCACCUGAAAAGAAUAUUUUGAUUACAUUCUGGGUUCUAGAAGCCAAAUCCAUCUUCCUUUUCCUUCUGAUGCUCCCUUUUUCUCCAUAUACUCUUCUUUGUCCAGAUCCUGUUCUGUCUCCCUUCCUUUGGAACUUGAUAACUGCAUAGUGAUGUUGCUUCUCAUAAUGCCUUUUCUUUUCUUGUCUGGAUGAGCAGAAGAAGAUCAUGAUCAUGAUCUGCUGUGUUAUCCUUGCGAUCAUCUUAGCCUCUACCAUUGGAGGCAUAUUUGCCUAAGAAAGGUGAGCCGUCUCUGGGGAGGGCCAAAUCUGCUAUUAGAAACUUGUGUAUAUCUUGGAAUCAUUCAUUGUCACCAGGUGCCCUAAACUGGGUGGGAUUAGGUGCUGGAAGAAAUAUAAGUUGGAAAAAUUAAGGAAAGGGACAUUUCAUAGAGAGAAAAAUGAGUUGGUAGUAAGUAGAUGGGGAGAGACAAAUGUGACAAUCUGGUCCAUGAUCAGGUCUGCUAGCAGAAUGCUUUGUACAGGUCAGGAAUGUCAAUUUCCUGCUGCAGAACUUGGGCCUUGGUAUCUGGGAAUGGCAAAAGGAGUAAGAAUUAGUUCUUCCUCUUUGGAAGAGGGCCAACUGUAGACCCAAAGUAAAUACAUUUCCUCUUUUGCAAGGUCAGGACAAGUCCUGCAGAAGAGGGACUGGUGAUGCUGACCUUGAUCACCACACUAUGUGAUCUAUGAUUUUUUUUUUUUCCUCCAUUCUAUUCUUUCCCCAGCCCUGAGAUGGAUCCUCAACUGGCAUUUCUAAUCCUUCUUGCACCUCUGUGGUGCCAUCACUUCUCCACUGCAGAUUCCUCAACAGCUAUUCCUCUUCAGUCUUUCAUGACACAGGGCAAUAAUCAACUACCCAUUAAAAAUUAUUGCCUAUUAAAAGAACAGGCUUGUGAAAAUACAUAAUUUGGUGGGGGUCAGGGAGCUCAGCUAUAUAAAGCUGACUAGACUGAUGGAUUCAAAGAAGAAACUGCAAGGCAGAGAAGAAAACAAAUGAUGAGUACCUGUUCAGGAAAUGAAACUUAAGGCCUGCUAUACCUUAAGCCAAGGUAUAACUGUGAAGAGUCAGGUAUUGUUAUCACACCCAGUUCAAUAGGAUCUUAUUUUAACUGCUAUAAAUUGAUCAGUAAGAUCAAGAUACUUGUUGCUUCUGCUUUUAACUCUCUUUCUAGGACUCACACCUAAUCAACCCUACAUCUACUUCCUUCUUCCGGGUUCAAUAGCAGUCUUAGAGUGAAGAGUAUCUAAGCAGCAGCAGCCUGCCUGUUUUGUACACUGCUGUAUCCCCAAUACUUUAGCACAGUGCCUGCCACUUACUAGUCCUCAAUAAACAUGUGAGAAUUUAAUUACCUAAAAUUAUACUUAAACUCUGAUUUCACCCAUGGAAAAGUCCUUGGAUUUGACUCAAAUCCUUUAAGUCAUCAUUGGUGGAAUGGUUUUUUUUAGGCUGUGUAAAGCUGCCUGGGAAUGGAUUGACCCAUUUAUGUAAAAAUGCUACAACAGGUCUCCUAGCCCCCACAAUUACCACAACAUAUAUUUUAAAGUGCUUUUUCUAUGGGUGGUGGUGGAGUUCUACUGUCUAUUGAUAUCUUCUCACUCAGUGAUGGCUGGAUUCAGGAUUGAGGUUCAGUAACUAAAUCCAGAGACCAAAGGUUUAUACUAUGAUUUAGCUUGCAAGUCAUCAGUACACUUUAUAACACAGAUACACUAUGAACCAUAACAAAGACUAGAUUAAGAUAUUAGGUGAGAAAGGGUUUGGCAAAAUGAGGUAUAUCGCUUAUGUUACUUAUCUGAUUCAUGCUGCUAGCUCAAACUGACUUUGUUGGCCAAUAAUUUGUGUCAAGAAACUGUUCCAAAUAUUGCCCCCAAGUCAAGGUUUAGGUGUGUGCAACUUUAAAGCCAUGUGAAUAUAAGCUUUAAUAAAAAUAACUUACUAGUGAUUAGUUACAUUACAACUCUUGAGGACCACACAACUGUUUAGAUAAAUUGUACCUCUGAGAGUAAAUUAAAUUCUUAUUUUGCCAGAGAUCUUAUUUUUUAAGAAAGUGAAAAUGGGUUAAGAAAAAUUACAUUUUAGUCAGUGUGCUUUCUACCCAUUUUCUUUCAGAAGUAAAUGGUUUAAUAUUUUUAUCAACUUGUAUUUCCUUUAUUUUGAAUAGGGGAUAAAGACUACUGCUAGGCACUUCAGAAAAACAGAUUAAUCUUGUUAAAGGGAAACAAGGACCAUGGGUAUUUGAAUCACACAGGGCCCUCAUUCAUCCACCAGUAGAGUGCUGUGCGAUAAUAUGGACUGCACUAGAUCCUUCAGGGACACAAAGACAGAACCAAACACUCACUAUCUUCAAAGAACUUCAGACUUAAGAAAGGCCACACAAUUUCAAUUCUUCUUUUUAUUAGUUCUUUUUGUUAAAAGGUAAAGAAUGUUGUCCAACAUCCCUCACUUCAAGAUUGUGAGAAGAUGGAUAGCUGGGCAUCAAUAAAUAUGUUGAAUCGGUUAACCUA
Choloepus didactylus (southern two-toed sloth) is the source of this 7365-nucleotide RNA transcript. It is a transcript of the gene named syntaxin 3, with no coding region annotated. The transcript is spliced from 10 exons. NCBI's taxonomy places the organism in Eukaryota, Metazoa, Chordata, Mammalia, Pilosa, Megalonychidae. The record is from RefSeq and is a predicted model, not a curated record.